Molecule: ribosomal RNA, 468 nt
Filed under: uncultured bacterium
Lineage: Bacteria
Description: partial 16S ribosomal RNA
Rfam family: Bacterial small subunit ribosomal RNA
Source: RNAcentral
GACGAACGCUGGCGGCGUGCUUAACACAUGCAAGUCGAACGGAAAGGCCCUGCUUUUGUGGGGUGCUCGAGUGGCGAACGGGUGAGUAACACGUGAGUAACCUGCCCUUGACUUUGGGAUAACUUCAGGAAACUGGGGCUAAUACCGGAUAGGAGCUCCUGCUGCAUGGUGGGGGUUGGAAAGUUUCGGCGGUUGGGGAUGGACUCGCGGCUUAUCAGCUUGUUGGUGGGGUAGUGGCUUACCAAGGCUUUGACGGGUAGCCGGCCUGAGAGGGUGACCGGCCACAUUGGGACUGAGAGACGGCCCAGACGCCAACGGGAGGCAGAAGUGGGGAAUAUUGCACAAUGGGCGGAAGCCUGAUGCAGCAACGCCGCGUGCGGGAUGACGGCCUUCGGGUUGUAAACCGCUUUCGCCUGUGACGAAGCGUGAGUGACGGUAAUGGGUAAAGAAGCACCGGCUAACUACGUG